UACGAAGGGGGCUAGCGUUGCUCGGAAUCACUGGGCGUAAAGGGUGCGUAGGCGGGUCUUUAAGUCAGUGGUGAAAGCCCGGAGCUCAACUCCGGAACUGCCAUUGAAACUGUUUAGCUUGAGGACGAGAGAGGUGAGUGGAAUUCCCAGUGUAGAGGUGAAAUUCGUAGAUAUUGGGAAGAACACCGGUGGCGAAGGCGGCUCACUGGCUCGUUUCUGACGCUCAGGCGCGACAGCGAGGGGAUCAAACAGG
RNAcentral lists this ribosomal RNA (253 nucleotides) under uncultured bacterium. RNAcentral's name for it is "partial 16S ribosomal RNA". It matches the Rfam family "Bacterial small subunit ribosomal RNA", at positions 524 to 776 of the family's 1533-position model. The record is from RNAcentral.